Long non-coding RNA from Neoarius graeffei (lesser salmon catfish), 266 nucleotides. RefSeq lists it as uncharacterized. The transcript is spliced from 3 exons. The record is from RefSeq and is a predicted model, not a curated record. Lineage: Eukaryota; Metazoa; Chordata; Actinopteri; Siluriformes; Ariidae.
AUGGAGAAGAGACAAGCAAGAAAGGCACAAAGGAGAGAGAGAGAGAGACCUGAAACAUAAAGGCAAAACAGACACACAGAUGAAGAAAAACAGGGGUACAGACAAAGAAAUGGAAGACAGGGACAAAGAGAAGUAGUGAAAGAUAAUAAGAGACAAGAUGGAUGGACAACACCAACUUCUGCCAGUGAGCCCUUGCUGAAUAAGUUUGGGUUCCAUACCUCUGCACACCACCUUUCUGUGAAGACUUUGGAGAAGCCAGCAACAAG